CGGAGCCCAUGGAACCGGGAGCCGAUGAAGGACGUGAUACGCUGCGCGAAGGUUCGGGGAGAUGGACGUAAACGUUGAGUCGAAGAUUUCAGAAUGAGGAAACUCACUUCGGGUAGUGUCUAAGAAGCAUUAAAUGAAGACAAAGCGUAAUGAGGGGAACUCAGGGAACUGAAACGUCUAAGGACCUGAAGGAAGAGAAAAUAAUUCGAAUCCGUAAGUAGCGGCGAGAGAACGCGAAUUAGCCCAAACCAAUGAAGUUUUCUUUAUUGGGGUUGCGGACAUAUCAUAACGAAGAGGUAUCGUUAUCGAAGAGGUUAGGAAAUACCCACCACAGAAGGUAAUAAUCCUGUAUGUUAAACGGGAAGACCUUAGCUCAGAUCCAGAGUACCACGGGACGCGUGAAACCCUGCAGGAAGCCGGGGGGACCACCCUGCAAGGCUAAUUACUACCUUGUGACCGAUAACGUAUAGUACCGUGCGUCAACGGCGACAAGAACUCCGGGACGGGAGUGA
This 512-nucleotide ribosomal RNA is filed under the name Clostridioides difficile. RNAcentral describes it as "bacterial LSU rRNA". It matches the Rfam family "Bacterial large subunit ribosomal RNA", at positions 31 to 541 of the family's 2925-position model. The record is from RNAcentral. Lineage: Bacteria; Bacillati; Bacillota; Clostridia; Peptostreptococcales; Peptostreptococcaceae.